This 1507-nucleotide long non-coding RNA is filed under the name Aotus nancymaae (Ma's night monkey). RNAcentral describes it as "lncRNA (ENSANAG00000039358.1)". Lineage: Eukaryota; Metazoa; Chordata; Mammalia; Primates; Aotidae. The record is from RNAcentral.
AUGAGGAAGCACACUUUGUACAGAGUCUGUUCAGCAUUUGCUGAAUCACUCAUUUGCUGGAUAUAUUAUCUGUAUUUUACUGCCGAAUUCUCAGCACCAUCCCAGGAAGUUGGAGCCUUGAGUAGAGUUUGGAAUUUGCCUUCCAGGAAAGAAGAGUUUGCUGCAGGCCUCAAAUGGGGUGAUUGGUUCCUGGCUUUCAUGCAGGCCAGUGCCAUCUUCCCCCAACAUCCCACCCUCCGCUUCUCUCCUGGGAACUUCAGUGACGCCAAUCAGGCACUCUGUUUUAGUGCCACUAACACCCAUGACCAGCAGAGGGCAGAAGAGAGGAGCAGGAGCCUCCCGUGGAGCCAAACGAGGGGCUCCCCUCUCAGUAAGCAGGUGAGCCAGGCCAGGAGGCUGGGCUGCAUACACAGUCCGGGGCGGGGAGAGAGACAGGUCAGGUCUCAGGUGCUGGGAUGCCCCAGUUUAAGAUGUGCUGCAGCAGCAGCUGGAGUCGGGCUGCUGAAAAGAGCUGUGCUCAGAGUGUGUUAGGAAAAGCGUUGCAACAGCGGUCUUUCUUUCUUUCUUCUUUUCUCUUUCUUCUUUCUUUCUCUUUCUUUCUGCUUUCUUUCUUUUUCUUUUCUUUCUUUCUUUCUUUUUACUAUAUUAAAAAAGAAAAACAAGAAAUGACAAAGCAGAGUUACGAAACUGGUGUGUUUUAAAUGUUUACAUCGAAUAAACUUCCUUUUACAGAAAACUCACGAUUCCGGUACAGUGAGCCAUUAGGGACAAGCUGCCCUCGAAAACCCCCUCCGCGCAGCCGGCCCGCACCCUGACUGCUCUGCCGCUGCUCUCCUAAACCCUCAUCCAGGAGCCACAGCAAGGCCACCAGACGUGCCACAGCCAUCCGAGCAGCAUGGGGAAGGGCAUGGGAAACAAAGCUUUGUCAUGUGUACUUGUAAAUUCCUGUUUUACACGUACCUGUAAAUUCCUGUUUUAUUUAAACUGCUGCCAGAAAAGUCACAGGAUGAUGUAAAUCUGUCGCAAGCUGACAAACUAUCUCUGUGCCUGUUACAGGCUGACAGAUUAUCUCGGUCCCGAGUCCUCUCACCCCGUGUAAACCCCUCGUUUUGUAAGCUCGGGGCCGCUCCUCUGACUGUUAUGGAGCAGCUGGCAGGUCAAUAAAACUUGCUCGUCUGACUUUUCUCUCGGGUGACCUCACAUGUUGGUACCAAAACCGGGGAAGGGUAGACUCUGGCCAGGUGUCCUUAAGGGACUCUCUCUCUCUCUCUCUCUCCCUCCUUCCCUCUCCAGUCCCCUCUUUCCCGGCCUACCCUCCCCUUCCCGAACCUGCCAAAGACCCAGAGAAUCUUCCAGACUCUCCCGUUGCUGCGACGUCGUCCACCAUCAAGGCCUCCGCUGGGGUGUGAGUGAGACCGUUUCCAUUUACCAGGAACCCUGACGGUCUCUGCCUUCCCGAAAGGCGCGGCGCUGGGCCGGGGGCUUCCUCCGUUUCAGGGACGCCCUG